GAUGAACGCUAGCGGCGUGCCUAACACAUGCAAGUCGAACGUGAGAGGGUACUUGUAUCCUUGAAAGUGGCGGACGGGUGAGUAAGACGUAGGUGACCUGCCUUGAAGUGGGGGAUAACCAUUGGAAACGAUGGCUAAUACCGCAUAAGCUGGUGACGAUGGGAAUCGUUAUCAGGAAAGCUUUAGUGCUUUGAGAGGGGCCUACGGCCGAUUAGCUAGUUGGUGAGGUAAAGGCUCACCAAGGCGAUGAUCGGUAGCUGGUCUGAGAGGACGAUCAGCCACACGGGAACUGAGACACGGUCCCGACUCCUACGGGGGGCAGCAGUGAGGAAUAUUCGGCAAUGGGGGCAACCCUGACCGAGCAACGCCGCGUGGAGGAUGACGGUUUUCGGAUUGUAAACUCCUUUUCUUCAGGGAAGAGCGAGGACGGUACCUGGGGAAUAAGUCACGGCUAACU
RNAcentral lists this ribosomal RNA (457 nucleotides) under uncultured bacterium. RNAcentral's name for it is "bacterial SSU rRNA". It matches the Rfam family "Bacterial small subunit ribosomal RNA", at positions 28 to 502 of the family's 1533-position model. The record is from RNAcentral.